UCAGAAAAAAAGAGUAACUCUUUAUCUUUAAUUCCCAAAAUUAAUAUUUUUUUAAACUAUUUCCUGA
This 67-nucleotide transfer RNA is filed under the name Eriocheir sinensis (Chinese mitten crab). RNAcentral's name for it is "tRNA-Pro". The record is from RNAcentral. Lineage: Eukaryota; Metazoa; Arthropoda; Malacostraca; Decapoda; Varunidae.